Molecule: ribosomal RNA, 468 nt
Filed under: uncultured bacterium
Lineage: Bacteria
Description: partial 16S ribosomal RNA
Rfam family: Bacterial small subunit ribosomal RNA
Source: RNAcentral
GACGAACGCUGGCGGCGUGCUUAACACAUGCAAGUCGAACGGAAAGGCCCUGCUUUUGUGGGGUGCUCGAGUGGCGAACGGGUGAGUAACACGUGAGUAACCUGCCCUUGACUUUGGGAUAACUUCAGGAAACUGGGGCUAAUACCGGAUAGGAGCUCCUGCUGCAUGGUGGGGGUUGGAAAGUUUCGGCGGUUGGGGAUGGACUCGCGGCUUAUCAGCUUGUUGGUGGGGUAGUGGCUUACCAAGGCAUUGACGGGUCGCCGGCCUGAGAGGGUGACCGGCCACAUUGGGACUGAGAUACGGCCCAGAGUCCUACGGGGGGCAGCGGUGGAGAAUAUUGCACAAUGGGCGGAAGCCUGAUGCAGCAACGCCGCGUGCGGGAUGACGGCCGUCGGGGUGUAAACCGCUUUCGCCUGUGACGAAGCGUGUGUGACGGUAAUGGGUAAAGAAGCACCGGCUAACUACGUG